CCUACGGGGGGCAGCAGUGGGGAAUAUUGCACAAUGGGGGAAACCCUGAUGCAGCGACGCCGCGUGAGUGAAGAAGUAUUUAGGUACGUAAAGCUCUAUCAGCCGGGAAGAAAAUGACGGUACCUGACUAAGAAGCCCCGGCUAACUACGUGCCAGCCGCCGCGGUAAUACGUAGGGGGCAAGCGUUAUCCGGAUUUAUUGGGUUUAACGGGUGCGCAGGCGGAGGUGCAAGUCAGCGGUCAAAUUGCGGGGCUCAACCCCGUACUGCCGUUGAAACUGCAUCCCUGGAGUGCGCGAGAAGUAUGCGGAAUGCGUGGUGUAGCGGUGAAAUGCAUAGAUAUCACGCAGAACUCCGAUUGCGAAGGCAGCAUACCGGCGCGCAACUGACGCUCAUGCACGAAAGCGUGGGUAUCGAACAGGAUUAGAUACCCCUGUAGUC
RNAcentral lists this ribosomal RNA (439 nucleotides) under uncultured bacterium. Its description in RNAcentral is "partial 16S ribosomal RNA". It matches the Rfam family "Bacterial small subunit ribosomal RNA", at positions 338 to 795 of the family's 1533-position model. The record is from RNAcentral.